AGGGUGUAAACGCUGCAGACUUGGUGUUGGAAGUCCUUUGGGGGCAUUCAGUGCCGGAGAGAAGUUGUUAAGUCUGCUACUUGGGAGUACGUCCGCAAGGAUGAAACUUAAAGGAAUUGGCGGGGGGAGCACCGCAACGGGAGGAGCGUGCGGUUUAAUUGGAUUCAACACCAUAAAACUCACCAGGGAAGGCUGUUACAUGAAAGCCGAGAUGAAGACUCUGCUAGAUUUUCAGAGAGGUGGUGCAUGGCGUCAGUGACU
RNAcentral lists this ribosomal RNA (261 nucleotides) under uncultured archaeon. Its description in RNAcentral is "partial 16S ribosomal RNA". It matches the Rfam family "Archaeal small subunit ribosomal RNA", at positions 748 to 1008 of the family's 1478-position model. The record is from RNAcentral.